Molecule: RNA transcript, 1517 nt
Organism: Choloepus didactylus (southern two-toed sloth)
Lineage: Eukaryota; Metazoa; Chordata; Mammalia; Pilosa; Megalonychidae
Gene: CCDC28A
Gene name: coiled-coil domain containing 28A
Exons: 7
Source: RefSeq, a predicted model, not a curated record
CACCGCAACCCCGCCUUGAGCUCCCUUUCCCCACCCACCUCUAGCCACUGCUGGGCUGCGGGCGGCGAAGGUCCACCGCGCCGGCAGAUUGGGGAAGGGGCCGGAGGGAAGUCAAGAGGGACCCCAGUGGUCCUGCUUGGAUGCUGCUGCUCCCUGGCUCUCGAAACCAUAGUGUCUUAAGAAGCUGGCAGCGGUGCAAUAAAGAACUUAAAACAAUGGAAGAGCGGAAAAUGAAGAGGAGGAGUCCUAAGUCUUUUAGUGCCCACUCAACUCAGGGUGUUAAUGCCAAAAAAAAUGCCAUUCCCGUUAGCAAAAGCACUGGGUUUUCAAACCCAACAGCACAGGCAACCUCACAAAGGCCAAAGUUAAAAAGAGUGAUGAAAGAGAAGAGCAGGCCUCAGGGCGGAGAAGGAAAAGGUGCGCAGUCGACUCCGAUUCAGCACUCCUUCCUCACCGAUGUCUCCGACGUCCAGGAGAUGGAGAGAGGGCUCCUGAGCCUGCUGAAUGAUUUCCACUCUGGGAAACUGCAAGCGUUUGGAAAUGAAUGUUCUAUUGAACAGAUGGAACAUGUUCGGGGAAUGCAGGAGAAACUAGCUCGCUUGAACUUGGAGCUCUAUGGGGAGUUAGAGGAGCUUCCUGAGGAGAAGAGAAAGACAGCAAGUGACUCCAAUCUGGAUCGGCUUCUGUCCGAUUUAGAAGAAUUGAAUUCUUCCAUGUAUCCUUUGCCUCCUAGCAACAGUGAGAAGUUUAUGACGUAUAUUGUCUGAAUUUCGGCGUGCUCUUGGCUUCUUUCUGCGCUUUUGUCUCCUCAGUAUCUUCUGUCCUCUCAGCUGAGCUCCUGUUAAACAAGCGGGCCUAUUGUCUCGUCACUUCUCUCAAUUCUAAACAAGGCAACCUGGUGUAGUAGGAGAGCAUUCCAUUUGGAAUUCUUGGUUCCAGUAAGCAACAUACAAAAACUUCAUUUGGCAGAUGCACAAGAAGUUCCGAAUACUUCUACCAGCUAAAAUGAAAUGCAGUUUGCUUUCUUGUGACUUGAAGAAAAGCAGCAUUCUUUACUUUUUCAGCUGUCCAGUAGCAGAAUCAUCUUCCACAAUAAGGAAUUAAAGUAAUUACAGUGCAAUGAUUGCUUUCACAUUCUGCUUUUAGUGAAUUUGGCUUGCUGUGAUUCACCACAACUGGGGGCCAAGGCCUUGUUGAAGGCGUAAUCAGGAAAUGUGGUGCAGAGAUUGCGCUGCUGUGCUUUAUACUGUGGCCUUAUGGGUUAUACUUGAAACGCAUUGUGCUCAGUGUUGGUGAUGGGGCUGAAGGAUGUGUCCAUCCUGAGCUCACCAGACUAAUAAUUCCAGUGUCCUUCAUAAGUUGCUGACGCUCAGGCUUCUCGUGGCAGCCUAGCUUCUGUUUACGUUAGACAAUCAGUACACACUUCUGGUGUGUUUCUCAGUGGCCAGUGACAACAAAAUACUAAAUAAGUAUUUGUGAAAUUUGCUAUUUUUAAUAAAGUGAUUGUUUUAAAUUAA